GACGAACGCUGGCGGCGUGCUUAACACAUGCAAGUCGAACGGAAAGGCCCUGCUUUUGUGGGGUGCUCGAGUGGCGAACGGGUGAGUAACACGUGAGUAACCUGCCCUUGACUUUGGGAUAACUUCAGGAAACUGGGGCUAAUACCGGAUAGGAGCUCCUGCUGCAUGGUGGGGGUUGGAAAGUUUCGGCGGUUGGGGAUGGACGCGCGGCUUAUCAGCUUGUUGGUGGGGUAGUGGCUUACCAAGGCUUUGACGGGUAGCCGGCCUGAGAGGGUGACCGGCCACAUUGGGACUGAGAUACGGCCCAGACUCGUACGGGAGGCAACAGUGGGGAAUAUUGCACAAUGGGCGGAAGCCUGAUGAAGCAACGCCGCGUGCGGGAUGACGGCCUUCGGGUUGUAAACCGCUUUCGCCUGUGACGAAGCGUGAGUGACGGUAAUGGGUAAAGAAGCACCGGCUAACUACGUG
This 468-nucleotide ribosomal RNA is filed under the name uncultured bacterium. Its description in RNAcentral is "partial 16S ribosomal RNA". It matches the Rfam family "Bacterial small subunit ribosomal RNA", at positions 28 to 507 of the family's 1533-position model. The record is from RNAcentral.